AACACACGUGGAUUGCGGUGAAUA
RNAcentral lists this microRNA (24 nucleotides) under Zea mays. Its description in RNAcentral is "microRNA miR-3047". The record is from RNAcentral. Lineage: Eukaryota; Viridiplantae; Streptophyta; Magnoliopsida; Poales; Poaceae.